CGGGGCCCUGGGCCCCGGAAAUUAGAAAUGGAGAAAUGGAAGGCUGGGUGCUGGCGUUUCGGAAAUGCAUGCUCGUGGUGUUCCUCUUUAUGUAAGGGAAGCUUCUGGGCCUUUUCCCUGCCUGUCGAACGUUCUGUAUGUUUUUGCGGGAUGUGUGAGGUGUGCUGUCUUGCUCCACUUUGAGGCACCGCCCCCACUGCGGGAGUGCUGGGGACCUGCCCCAUGGGGCAUCCUCGGGGCCAGCCCUGUGGCCACAGGCAUCUGGGCCCUCGCUGCCCCUGGCCGGGACACACUGCCGGUCCUGUGCAGUGGCUCAAAGCCCCUCUACCGGGGGUGACCCGGUCUCUCCGGAGAUGAAGUGCAGCGGGGGUCUAGGCCGGCUUCCUGGCCCCCCACCCCUCCUGGCUUUACCCC
RNAcentral lists this long non-coding RNA (414 nucleotides) under Homo sapiens (human). RNAcentral describes it as "LHRI_LNC1792.1". The record is from RNAcentral. Lineage: Eukaryota; Metazoa; Chordata; Mammalia; Primates; Hominidae.